RNAcentral lists this ribosomal RNA (423 nucleotides) under uncultured bacterium. RNAcentral describes it as "bacterial SSU rRNA". It matches the Rfam family "Bacterial small subunit ribosomal RNA", at positions 354 to 776 of the family's 1533-position model. The record is from RNAcentral.
GUGAGGAAUAUUGGUCAAUGGGCGUGAGCCUGAACCAGCCAAGUCGCGUGAGGGAAGACUGCCCUAUGGGUUGUAAACCUCUUUUGUCGGGGAGCAAAGCUGCCACGUGUGGUGGUUUGAGAGUACCCGAAGAAAAAGCAUCGGCUAACUCCGUGCCAGCAGCCGCGGUAAUACGGAGGAUGCGAGCGUUAUCCGGAUUUAUUGGGUUUAAAGGGUGCGUAGGCGGGACAGUAAGUCAGCGGUAAAAUAGCGGGGCUCAACCCCGUCGAGCCGUUGAAACUGCAGUUCUUGAGUGGGCGAGAAGUAUGCGGAAUGCGUGGUGUAGCGGUGAAAUGCAUAGAUAUCACGCAGAACCCCGAUUGCGAAGGCAGCAUACCGGUGCUCAACUGACGCUGAUGCACGAAAGCGUGGGGAUCAAACAGG